GAGUGUUACAGCUCUUUUAGAAUAUGUCUAGCAGGUCUUCUGGUUUCUACCAGAAAGCACUA
RNAcentral lists this small nuclear RNA (62 nucleotides) under Erinaceus europaeus (western European hedgehog). RNAcentral's name for it is "U7 small nuclear RNA (ENSEEUG00000019230.1)". It matches the Rfam family "U7 small nuclear RNA". From Rfam's summary of the family: Animal histone pre-mRNAs are spliced by a different mechanism than nuclear pre-mRNAs and self-splicing introns. Lineage: Eukaryota; Metazoa; Chordata; Mammalia; Eulipotyphla; Erinaceidae. The record is from Rfam by way of RNAcentral.